Molecule: RNA transcript, 2899 nt
Organism: Fukomys damarensis (Damara mole-rat)
Lineage: Eukaryota; Metazoa; Chordata; Mammalia; Rodentia; Bathyergidae
Gene: Dusp22
Gene name: dual specificity phosphatase 22
Exons: 7
Source: RefSeq, a predicted model, not a curated record
UCUGCUUGUGUCUGCCACGCUCAUGCCUGUGUCUCUUUCCUAGAUCCUGCCUGGCCUGUACAUCGGCAACUUUAAAGAUGCCAGAGAUGUGGAACAAUUGAGCAAGAACAAGGUGACACACAUUCUGUCUGUCCAUGAUAGUGCCAGGCCCAUGUUGGAGGGAGUUAAAUACCUGUGCAUUCCAGCAGCGGAUUCACCAUCUCAAAAUCUAGGGAUCGGCAUGCCGUGAGAGUUGCAGAACGUGAAGCAUGCUUGGCAGACUGGAAGGACAAGACACUUCAAAGAAAGUAUUAAAUUCAUCCACGAGUGCCGACUGCAGGGCGAAGGCUGCCUCGUGCACUGCCUGGCCGGGGUCUCCAGGAGCGUGACGCUGGUGAUCGCCUACAUCAUGACCGUCACUGACUUUGGCUGGGAGGAUGCCCUGCACACUGUGCGCGCGGGCAGAUCCUGUGCCAACCCCAACCUGGGCUUCCAGAGGCAGCUGCAGGAGUUUGAGAAGCACGAGGUCCACCAGUACCGGCAGUGGCUGAAGGAAGAGUACGGAGAGAACACUUUGCAGGAUGCUGAAGAAGCCAAGAGCAUUCUGGGUAAAUAUAGAGAGCAAGGGCGUGUGGACUCGCAGCCUGGCGCUAGGCGGUGGAGCAGCUUUUCAGCCCUUCCUCCUCUGGCCUGCAGCUACACAACAGAGACCUAAGGCAGAGGGAUCUGCUCCCUGCCUUCCCACCGCUUGUCUUCACGCCCGCACCGUCUGUGUGGUGGUCUGCUGGUCUGCUGGCCGCUGCCCUGGAUGAGGGAGGCAGCCUGGGCGAGGCAAACUGCUCAGGGCUCCUCCCCAGGACCCUGCUCAGCCCUGCUCCGAGCCCCUUUGCUCUGCCCCCCUGCACACUGAGCUGGCUGCCCUGGGCUGCUUCCAAGUUACUGGGCUACCACACACUGCCAUGUGCAUGUGGAUGCACAGUGUGAGUCUGUGUGUGCAGCCCGUGUGAGGCUGUGUGCAUCGCGAGAGUGCACGUGUGUGAAUGUUGGGUGUUCAUGUGGCCGGAACUCAUCAAACCCGAGCUGCCCAGAUCGGUGGUGUGGCCACUUCUCCCUCCUCUGACACCAUGUGGAAAGCUUUUGUACUUGACCUUGGAGAAGCUGCUGGGCAGGAGCCGCCUGUAACACAAGCAGACAGCUGGAGGAAUCGGGGGAUGAGCCAAUGAAAGCUACCGCCGCCGCCGGCAGUCCAUGGGGAAGGCGAGGUCUGGCCCUUCUCUGGGAUGCUGUUCCAGGGACCCUGAAGUGUGUGUGCAUUGGCAAGGAAAGCCCCUGGGGAAAUGGCUUGGGCUGGGUGUGGGCACUGCAGGUCCUGGUUUCUCUGCUGCCCCUUCAGCCUGUGGUGCCCUGAGAUCUGCUUGGUGUUCUGGACGCAUUCAAGGUUCUUCAGCCAAAGGUUUCCUGCGUGAGGGCCCUUCCCUCCCCUCCUCCCCACUUGCUUCAUGGCCUCCAGCCUCUCACCGUUCUUGCUCUGCAAAGGCCCCUUCUUAAGGUUUGCAUGCACCUGCAGGAAUUGGGAAGAGCAUUAGGCACUGUAGCCAUUUGCAUUUAAAAAUGCCAAAGCACUUAUUAAGCUCCUUGAUGUAUGCUGUGGAUUUGGUCUUUGAUCUCAGCUACCUCAUUAAAUGUCUUCUGAAAAGGUGGUUUUGGUUAUUCUAGUCCACUCUGCCUCAGAGUUGACAAUUUUGGUCAUGAUUGCUUUUGAAGCCAAAGGGCAAGUCAUCAGUAUCCUUGAGCUAUUUCACAUUCCGAAGUGGGCUCCCACCAUGUUUUCGGUGAUGUGAUUCCACAGAGCUGGUGAGCACCUGCAUGUGCGGUGUGAGCCACAAGGCCCUGUGUAUGUGCCAUGGUCCAGUUCCUUAUACCAACUGGAGUUUGUGCACACACAGAGCCACGUGAAUGAAAAAUGUAUGCCUCCUCUCCCAAAAAAGAUGUCAUAACCCAGUUUCUCCAAGUUCUACCAUGAAAAGAGCCUCUGAAUGAGCAGAGUGGUUUUCCCAUUGCAUGAAGGGUGUGUCAAAGACAAGCUCUCUGGGGAUGGGGAAACCAAGUGGCCAGCUGUGCACACAUACAGCCCCAGUGCAUGAGACAGGCCGUGGCCACAGGUACACGUGUCCUUAACUAAGAGAACUGCCUGUGAGGUACACUUUUGCUUUAAACCAAAAAGAGAUGUAAAUAUACAACAGAGGGCUACAGGUGUAACUCGGUAGAGCGCCUGCCUGGCAUGCACCAGGCCCUGGGUUUAAUCCCCAGUACAACAAAAGGAAAUGAAAAGAACACCUGAGCAAGUACUCGAAAGUGUGUGUCCAUUUGUGAGUUACCUGACACACUCCCACAGGCUUUGGAGUGUUUUAAUAUUUGUUGCCAGUAAUGUUCUUUCUCCGCAGCCACUCCAGGAAUUCUGAAGUACUGGCCAUUUCUCAGAAGACUGUAACAUACCCGAAGUUUGUGAAAUAUUGCAAAGUUUAGGCUGGUGCUGCCACAAAGAAAAGUGACCUGGAGUUUAAGUAUCCAGCAGUGAUUUGUAACUUGUUUUUCAUCUCCCAGGGAGUACAUAUGUAAUCAUGUUGUAACGUGUUGUGAGCUGUGGGGAUUCUUUAGCAAGAGAAAACACUUUUAGCCUAAUUCCACGCUGUGGCUGUCCCUUGAACCUGACAUUGAUGCUCUCCAGAGCCCCGCUGCUGCCAUUGUGACGCUGUUUAGUAAUCUCAAUUACUUCCUGUGAGCAGUGCCCAAGGAGGAAGCCAGCACCUGAGGACAGGGACAGACUCAACUUGGGGCAUGUUUCUCCCAGGCUGAUGGUCUCCACAUGGAAUUCCCCCAAAGCUACAGUUUUGUUAAUAAAGGGCAACCUGGCAUAUUA